AUCACUUCAUCGUUUAUCCGACGGCCGAGAUCUAUCGUCAGCUACGAAGAUGGGCUCGAUCCGGUCGUAGAGAUCGAUCUCGUGUUCUUGGACUCUCGGAUCUCUUCCACUCCAAGGGAGGCGACGGGAUAGCAUCAAGGCGAAACGUGAUCGGAGUCAAUGGGCAACUCGCCCGGCGAUUGGAGCAAAUCAAGAAAGGGGAAGUUGAUAUCGAAGUGAUUACCAGCAGGAUUCAGACUUUUCCAGUCAAAAGCAUGCGUGUGUCAUGCAUCUCCCUGUGACUUUAAAGAAUUCAAAAGCUGCCUGCUUGUUGAGGUGAUAAAAAGGAUUCCCACCAUCAAAAGACUUCAAGCUCAUCAGUCAACUCAGCCUGUUAAAUAUCACCAGAGAUCCUGCAAGAAAGUUCCUGAUGUUACUUUCAGCCACUGGAACUCCAUCGACUCUUGCUGCUGCUGACACCGCACUAACUUAGCUGCUAAGGUUAUGGCAUAGGCAUCUUUCGGCAAAUUUGGUUCUCAUUAUUAAUCCAACAGCUUUCACAGGUGCAGAAGUUGUAAGCAACUCAUUUGUGGAGAAGGGCAGCAUGGACCACUAGUCAUGCAUGCAUCUACAGAUUCUUAUAGAGAGGAAAUACAUGGGUCUCUUGGAGCCACCAUCUGUUUGAACCUUACCUCAUCAGGCUGCUGCAUAUGGAUCUCCAUCAUGGCUUGUGUUCCUUCUCCAGAUGUGCAGAGAUGAGGAAGAAGUACUACUGCAUCCUCUUUUUAAUGCAGUUGCCUGUGUGUGUGUGUGCGCGCGCCUGAGAUCACCCAUGUGUUGCUGACUCACAUAGAUUCCUUGUGGAGGCCCAGUGGAAGCAUUGAGUUCUUUGGUGUAUACACAUGAUUCCAAAAUCACAAAGCUACUUUUGUGACAGGGCUUAAAAGCAAGGGAGGCAACAUCCACCAUGGCUGGAGAGAAUGAGGUUGCUUGGGUCCCUCCAAAGGUUUUAAGAGCCUUACCAUGAAAUGCCAAUGGUAAAAGAGAAAGGUACAUUAGCUGUUCCUUCACCAGAAAGAGGAUUUAUUACAUCUGAUUCAAAAAGAUAUAUAGCAUUUUACAUUUCAAAGUUUGGAUAUAGCACAUUUGCCCCUCAAAACAUAGUGUCCCAUUUUUGUAUCCUUUUAACUAUUUAGAUAUUGCAUAAUCCCUUAAUAACUUUUACUUGUCAUUUGAUUCUUGAUUUUUUAAACUUCAAUUUAGAGGGACAAACAUGAAAAUUAGCAAUUUAAGAUAUAAUAUCUAAUCCACUAGUAGUCAACCAAUUGGUUCACAAGGGAAGGAGUCUUUGCAUUUUCCAGCAAAGGCUGGAGUGGUAGUGCUUUUCUUCAUCACCCACAGCUAAGCUUGUUGAGAAUAAUCCAAAUAUUGUUGUAGAGGUCACAGCAUAAAGCAUCCUACUCAAGCCUUUAUUAAAGUUGUGGACCCAACAAAGUUGUAGGCAGGAGGAUUGAUCCUUGGAAUUUGUUUUUUUAAGAAAAAAAUUAUUUAUACACUCUCAAGGUCAGUAAAAUUUUUAUUUUUAAUUUUAGUUCAGCAUAUGUUGUUUUUUUAAUA
This is a long non-coding RNA of Musa acuminata AAA Group (dessert banana), 1596 nucleotides long. RefSeq lists it as uncharacterized. The transcript has 4 exons. The record is from RefSeq and is a predicted model, not a curated record. Lineage: Eukaryota; Viridiplantae; Streptophyta; Magnoliopsida; Zingiberales; Musaceae.